AGGGGAAUAGCUCAGUGGUAGAGCGUGGCAUGCACAAGGUCCUGGGUUCAAUCCCCAGCCCUU
Molecule: transfer RNA, 63 nt
Filed under: Camelus bactrianus (Bactrian camel)
Lineage: Eukaryota; Metazoa; Chordata; Mammalia; Artiodactyla; Camelidae
Also listed under: 1 other name
Rfam family: tRNA
About the family: Transfer RNA (tRNA) molecules are approximately 80 nucleotides in length. Their secondary structure includes four short double-helical elements and three loops (D, anti-codon, and T loops). Further hydrogen bonds mediate the characteristic L-shaped molecular structure. tRNAs have two regions of fundamental functional importance: the anti-codon, which is responsible for specific mRNA codon recognition, and the 3' end, to which the tRNAs corresponding amino acid is attached (by aminoacyl-tRNA synthetases). tRNAs cope with the degeneracy of the genetic code in two manners: having more than one tRNA (with a specific anti-codon) for a particular amino acid; and 'wobble' base-pairing, i.e. permitting non-standard base-pairing at the 3rd anti-codon position.
Source: Rfam by way of RNAcentral